Molecule: ribosomal RNA, 337 nt
Filed under: Ixodes scapularis (black-legged tick)
Lineage: Eukaryota; Metazoa; Arthropoda; Arachnida; Ixodida; Ixodidae
Description: partial 16S ribosomal RNA
Source: RNAcentral
GGUAUUGAAAUAAGAUUUUAAAUGAGUGCUAAGAGAAUGAUUAAACAAUUAAAAGCUUUCUUUAAUUAAAAAAUUAAAUUUAAUUUUUUUAGUGCAAAAGCAAAAAUAAAAUUUAGGGACAAGAAGACCCUAUGAAUUUUUAUUGUUAAUAAUUAAAAUUUAAGUUAUUAAUAAUUUAAUUGGGGCGAUAAAAAAAGAAUAAGUAUCUUUUUAGUUAUAAAAUAAGUUCCGUUUUUAGCGAUUAAAUGAAAUAAAUACUCUAGGGAUAACAGCGUAAUAAUUUUGGAUAGUUCAUAUAGAUAAAAUAGUUUGCGACCUCGAUGUUGGAUUAGGAUUC